GGGUUACAUGAGCAAGUAAAUGCGUAUCAGGAACGGAUUUUCCUAUUCGCUCACCUGAUUGUAGUCCGUUUGUAAUGCGUAUUACCUCUGCUCAUGUAACCCCGAGUAAUGUUGAUGUGUUUCAUAAGAUUUGUGGUGGCGGGAUUAUCGUCAUUAACUAAUUACUUGAUAUAUUUUAAUGGGGAGUGGUGUAAUGCCCGCACGACUGUUGACUUUCAUUGUAAUUGCUUGAGCUGGUUCCUGGGCCGCCUCAGAUAGCAGGAUGGUGUGUCAAGUAGGUAUCAUGGCCUGACAGGAAGGCUUUCCGGUUAUGACUGAGGCCAGCAUCUCACGUGUCCUGGCUACGCCAAAUCACUGCGGAUGCCGGAUGCCGAGGACCGGAGAGCCAACCGCUUUGAGGCGUGAGCUCUGUGGCGUGGCUCGAGUGAUCACCAGGUUCUGACGGCUACGGCGCCGUCGACCUGGUUGAAUAGCUGGGGCCUGGACGAGAGUGCCCUUAGUACGGUGGUCAAUCGGUUACGUCCGAGGGGCGCUCGAACACGCUGCCGUCGCGUGGCUGCCGGCGGCCGCCCCCUCGCACGUGAAUCUCCUGGAGCGAGGACUGCGGGAGGCGGCCGCAUCAUCACCUGUGUCCGCGCUCAACACCGUGCCACGCACUAAUGGCGGAAGCCCGACUUUCUCCGAUGGAGGAGAGAAGCUGGACGCUGGCUGCCAGGCUGCUGGGGAGGGCGCUGGGUCUGCCAUCAGGGGACCCCCUGCGCGCGACCGCCGAGGCCUCGGCACCGGCGCGCCUGCCUUCGGUCCGAGGCUGGAGAUUGCGAGGCCGCCAGGCCUGGGCGAGAGCGAGAAUCCCACCGUGGCAACAGACGGCUGGCGUCACCUUCCGGUUGGACGUGUGCCCGAUCCGGGCUGGGGCCACGGCGGCGGAAAGGGAAAGCGUGGCUACGCUGCACCUCGCGUUCCUGCCCCUGUGUGCUGUCCGGCUUUGGACGGACGGAUCUGUGGAGGGCGGAGUCUUCAGGCGCUGGGCGGGAGCCGUGCUGGUCUGGCUGGACGAAGAGGUCGAGGAACUGCGGGCCCCGGCCGGAGAGCUGUGCUAUAGCUACCGCGCGGAGAUGGUGGCGCCGGUGACCGGUCCGGAGACCGUACUCGGAAGAGACAGAGACCAGGACCUGCGGUCCGUACCUAUCUGCUAACUGUGCGGUAGUGCUGGUGUAGUGCAACAUUUUUGGAUGGCUAGCUACAUUUCACGAUUAAAUAGCUGGUACGUUUCAGUGCAGGUGGCGUGACGAGCAAUGUAUCUGUUGGCCACUUCUGCGGCCGCUGCCAUUUCCUACUCGAAGGCGGGCGCACUACUUGGCUGGGCCGGCAGGAUGUUCCUAUUAUGUGUCGACGACAAAGCGAGUAUAUUCAUGUUCUUUUAAAGGGACUAUCCCACCUUCUAAAAUGUUGUUAAAACCAGUUAAAUUGUGCCCGACUUUAUAGACUGGAUGACCAGGAACACGGUUCUGGCAUUUAUUUUUCAUUAAACAUUUUAGGCUUCCAUAUUCCAAACACAAACUUUCAAAUAUGUGACGUCACAGCCCAAAAUUACCUCCUUCCCCAGGCCACAUUACUGUCAUAAAGCUGAUUCUUUUUACUCUGUAGGGACCACAACAAAGUUCAGACCAAGUUUUAAGCGAUUUUUCAACGAACAAACCCAUUUAAAUCAGAAUGACUAAACGAGGUGACGUCACACUAACGGUCGCUCCAUGUUGAAGAUAGGGCCUUGUACAAGGCCCAUUUUCAAAUGAAGGGAACGAAUUUCUUCAACACCAAGAGGCCGCGGGGGUUGCAACCUAGAUAGAUAGUGGUUUCUGAACCUCGCCGCAAACUUGGCUAUCUCAACUCAAACCCCAUGUUAAAGGUGGGAUAGUCCCUUUAAUGCACAGAAGUCUGUUGUAUAUUUGAAGUUUUAUUUUAGGUUGACGAUUGCGAAGGGCAGAUUCAUCUUCUCUCUUUCAUUUGUGUUGCCACUUUAGCGUUCAUGUUUGU
Molecule: long non-coding RNA, 2034 nt
Filed under: Amphibalanus amphitrite
Lineage: Eukaryota; Metazoa; Arthropoda; Thecostraca; Balanomorpha; Balanidae
Description: uncharacterized LOC122389663
Source: RNAcentral